UGCAUCGGCCGGGAAUCGAACCCGGGCCGCCCACGUGGCAGGCAAGCAUUCUACCACUGAACCACCGAUGC
This 71-nucleotide transfer RNA is filed under the name Cordylochernes scorpioides. Its description in RNAcentral is "tRNA-Gly". Lineage: Eukaryota; Metazoa; Arthropoda; Arachnida; Pseudoscorpiones; Chernetidae. The record is from RNAcentral.